UGCCGCUCUGCGCUUGGGUCCCGCCCCCUUUCCGGGCCGCGUAGUUGGGUUGCAGCGCACCAGAGGGCAGUAUGAAGAGGUGAAAGGUCACGUUAUGUAAGCGCUGGUGACAGGCCUGCGGGCCUCCAGCGGCGGAGUUGAAAAUGGGGGUCAGCGGGGGACCGAAAGGCCUGGAAUUCAAAGAGGGGCUUGGUGGAAAGGAUCAUACAGGAGCUUCUUUGGAAAAAUAUACUAAAAGACAUACCUAGUAAAGAUACAUCCAUUAAUUCUAAUAGUCUUUCGCAGCACCUCCAAAGUUGAGGGCUCUGGACUGGGAGCUUCAGAGGAAAAACAAAAAAUGAGACAGAGACUGUUCUGAGAAAACAAGAGGCACGAA
Herpailurus yagouaroundi (jaguarundi) is the source of this 376-nucleotide long non-coding RNA. RefSeq lists it as uncharacterized. The record is from RefSeq and is a predicted model, not a curated record. The transcript has 2 exons. Lineage: Eukaryota; Metazoa; Chordata; Mammalia; Carnivora; Felidae.